RNAcentral lists this transfer RNA (49 nucleotides) under Eupherusa ridgwayi. RNAcentral's name for it is "partial tRNA-Leu". Lineage: Eukaryota; Metazoa; Chordata; Aves; Apodiformes; Trochilidae. The record is from RNAcentral.
AACUUUUAAAGGAUAGCAGUCAAUCCACUGGUCUUAGAGCCACCCCACC